GUAGGGUGCGAGCGUUAAUCGGAAUUACUGGGCGUAAAGCGUGCGCAGGCGGUUCGUUAAGUUCGUUGUGAAAGCCCCGGGCUCAACCUGGGAACUGCAAUGGAAACUGGCGGGCUUGAGUGUGGCAGAGGGGGGUGGAAUUCCGCGUGUAGCAGUGAAAUGCGUAGAGAUGCGGAGGAACACCGAUGGCGAAGGCAGCCCCCUGGGCCAACACUGACGCUCAGGCACGAAAGCGUGGGGAGCAAACAGGAUUAGAUACCCUGGUAGUCCACGCCCUAAACGAUGCUCACUAGGUGUUGGGGAAGCGAUUCCUUGGUACCGUAGCUAACGCGUGAAGUGAGCCGCCUGGGGAGUACGGCCGCAAGGKUA
Molecule: ribosomal RNA, 369 nt
Filed under: uncultured bacterium
Lineage: Bacteria
Description: bacterial SSU rRNA
Rfam family: Bacterial small subunit ribosomal RNA
Source: RNAcentral